RNAcentral lists this small RNA (393 nucleotides) under Drosophila mojavensis. RNAcentral's name for it is "GI25852". The record is from RNAcentral. Lineage: Eukaryota; Metazoa; Arthropoda; Insecta; Diptera; Drosophilidae.
GGCAGAUUUGGAGCCGGCUGUCGCUUGAUUUCGUUGAUUUUAUAUCUUUGCUGAUGCGAUUUGACAGCCUAUUGCAGAUCUGUUUUGCCAGGGGAUUUCGGCUUUGUAGAAGAUAGCGUUUGAUUUGCUUCUUGGCCUCAAUCAACUGGAGAGUCUGGCUUUUGACUCGAAACCUAGAUCUGGUUAUCUUGCGUGGACACUGCGCAUUGGCAAAGUUUGCAGCAUCUUGGACGUUUUUGACAAGAAUAUCAACAGCAUCAUCAACAUCAUCUGGACUGCUGAUUUCAGUGUUGAAUGGCCUUUUGCUUUGCUGAUGAUCGGCUUCUCAACCAGCUGGACUUGCAAUGGGAGGUGAUCCGAGUUUAGCUCGAAAGAGUCAGUGAUGGCCAGCAA